This is a small nucleolar RNA of Cicer arietinum (chickpea), 99 nucleotides long. RefSeq annotates it as small nucleolar RNA Z157/R69/R10. The record is from RefSeq and is a predicted model, not a curated record. NCBI's taxonomy places the organism in Eukaryota, Viridiplantae, Streptophyta, Magnoliopsida, Fabales, Fabaceae.
UAAUGUGUUGUGACGAUACAAAUUGUGGACUAGAGUUUCUCAUCUGAAAAUCUUCACCCAGAAUAUGAUUAUCAAAUCCUUGGCUGUCCGAGCACAUAG